GAUAAACGCUGGCGGCGCACAUAAGACAUGCAAGUUGAACGGACUUAAUCGAAAUAUUUAUAUUUUGAAGCGGUUAGUGGCGGACUGGUGAGUAACGCGUAAGGAACCUGCCUAUUAGAGGGGAAUAACAGUGAGAAAUCAUUGCUAAUACCGCAUAUGCCAUAGAUAUCACAUGAUAACAGUGGGAAAGGAGCAAUCCGCUAAUAGAUGGCCUUGCGUCUGAUUAGAUAGUUGGUGGGGUAACGGCCUACCAAGUCGACGAUCAGUAGCCGGACUGAGAGGUUGAACGGCCACAUUGGGACUGAGAUACGGCCCAGAAUCAUACGGGAGGCAGCAGUCGGGAAUAUUGCGCAAUGGAGGAAACUCUGACGCAGUGACGCCGCGUAUAGGAAGAAGGUUUUCGGAUUGUAAACUAUUGUCGUUAGGGAAGAGAAAGGACAGUACCUAAGGAGGAAGCUCCGGCUAACUACGUG
RNAcentral lists this ribosomal RNA (473 nucleotides) under uncultured bacterium. RNAcentral describes it as "partial 16S ribosomal RNA". It matches the Rfam family "Bacterial small subunit ribosomal RNA", at positions 28 to 507 of the family's 1533-position model. The record is from RNAcentral.